AUAUUGGUAGUUCCAUGGUAGAAAUCUUGCCUUCCAUGCAGAAGACCCGGGCUCAAUUCCUGGCCAGUGCG
Molecule: transfer RNA, 71 nt
Filed under: Loxodonta africana (African savanna elephant)
Lineage: Eukaryota; Metazoa; Chordata; Mammalia; Proboscidea; Elephantidae
Rfam family: tRNA
About the family: Transfer RNA (tRNA) molecules are approximately 80 nucleotides in length.
Source: Rfam by way of RNAcentral